UCUCUCUCUCUCUCUAUUCUAGAGAGUUCCAAACGCUCCUCCUUCUCUCUAGUUUCUCUUUCUAUAUUUUCCAUGAUUUCUCGGCAUAAUAUCAAUGUUCACAUGGUAUUAGAGCCUAGAAGACGAUCCGACUGUGUUUAUCUGUAUCUCGUUGUGUUGGAUGAAGUCUGUUUCGAGAUUUUUGGGGGUGUUUCUCAGACCUUAUGGUCGAUGAUGAUUCCGACCUAAAUCGGAUGCUUUUCUGAGAUUUUCUUCGUGAUAUUUGAGUAUAUCUUCUCCACUCGAACGUUCUGGGAGGUUUCCCGAUGACUUUUGGGAUUUUUCGGUGACCUAUCGGCUUCUAGGGUUUCUGGUGGUUUAACCUAGAGUUUUACUGCUUUCCGGUGGCUCGAUUCUCACUCAGUGAAUGUUUUGGGUGCUUUUCUGGUUUGGCUGUACUCUGUUUGUUGAAAUUUUUUAAGCCGGUUCAUUGAUUAUGGCUUCUAAUACAAAUACUGGUACCUCAUCUCACUUCCAGUAAGGAUUUUGACGGUUGCACCUAGGGUUUUGUACCUAGGGUUCUCUCUGUUGUUUGAAGGCCGGUCUUCUCCGGUCGCGAAGAAGGAGGGUAACUCUGUCCUUAUCUUGAGUAUUCUAUGUUUUGUGUAUGAUUAUCUGACUCCGUAUGUGAGUAUUUGAUUUUAUGUGUGAAUAUCUGGUUUGGCUGUACUCUGUUUGUUGAAAUUUUUUUAAGCCGGUUCAUUGAUUAUGGCUUCUAAUACAAAUACUGGUACCUCCUCCUCUGUAGACUCUUCUAGCCCCCUUUUUGUAUAUUCCUCUGAUGUCCAUGGGGUCUCUCUUAUUUGGCUGUACUCUGUUUGUUAAAAAAUUUUAAGCCGGUUCAUUGAUUAUGGCUUCUAAUACAAAUACUGGUACAUCCUCCUCUGUAGACUCUUCUAGCCCCCUUUUUGUAUAUUCCUCUGAUGUCCCUGGGGUCUCUCUUGUUCCCACUCCCUUCUCGGGUAGUGGUUAUGGGGGCUGGAGAUGUAAAAUAAUUGUUGCUUUAUCAGCCAAAAACAAAAUUGGUUUUGUUGAUGGCACAUGUUCCCGACCUACCAUUAAUGUGGCUCAACAAAGGUUGUGGGAUAGGUGCAACAACAUGGUGAUUUCUUGGUUCACUGCUUCCCUCUUCUGUGUAUUGUGACAGCCAGGCAGCCAUUCACAUUGCCACGAAUCAUAUUUUUCAUGAACAGACUAAACACAUUGAAGUGGAUUGUCAUUUUGUGCGCGAUCUGCUCCAGAGUGGCCUUAUUCAACUGUUCCAUGUCCCUACCACUCGCCAGCUCGCUGACCUUCUGACCAAGCCUUUGCCCGGCACCAUACUUCAUCCAUUGUUGCUCAAGUUGCAGGUGGUGUCUCCCUUCAACUUGAGGGGGGGUGUUGAGAUAAGAGAAAACACAUGAUAGAGCCUUGUAUAGCCUUGUACAUUUUGUGUAUACUCAUUGUAUAUUUUCGGUAUAUCCAUG
RNAcentral lists this long non-coding RNA (1505 nucleotides) under Nicotiana benthamiana. RNAcentral's name for it is "long non-coding RNA (NBEN_LNC040101)". The record is from RNAcentral. Lineage: Eukaryota; Viridiplantae; Streptophyta; Magnoliopsida; Solanales; Solanaceae.